RNAcentral lists this unclassified non-coding RNA (408 nucleotides) under Myxacorys chilensis. Its description in RNAcentral is "16S-23S ribosomal RNA intergenic spacer". The record is from RNAcentral. Lineage: Bacteria; Bacillati; Cyanobacteriota; Cyanophyceae; Leptolyngbyales; Leptolyngbyaceae.
UUAGGGAGACCUUACCCCCAUUUCCUCAAGCUUUGGGGUAAAUGCCUAGAGCAAGCAGAGAAGUGGUUGGUCAUCUCAAGGUCGGUGAGGGUUGGAUGUAAGGCUUUCAAACUUGUCUGGUUUGAUAUUAAAGCUUUAGACUGCAACAAUAUAAGCGCGUACCCACAAAAUAACUUGUGUGGAAGCAUUUAUUGAUUGUUUCUCUCAAUGCUAAAUGAAAUGUAUUCAGCAACAGAUUUAGUUUUAGUUUCACUAAGCUGACUGCUGGAUUGUAUUCCAGUAAGAACCAUGAAAACUGCAUAGAGAUAAGCAAUUAAGUCAGGUAGAAGAUUAGUUGUGUCCAUCGAUUGAUUAAACAAUGGAUGAAGCAAUGAAGGCUUCAUAGACACCAAUGAUUUUGAGGUUAGU